ACAAUGGUGUUUUUCAACACCACCAACCAAAGUUCCAUAAAGAGGAAAU
This is a non-coding RNA of Picea glauca (white spruce), 49 nucleotides long. The record is from Rfam. NCBI's taxonomy places the organism in Eukaryota, Viridiplantae, Streptophyta, Pinopsida, Pinales, Pinaceae.